Long non-coding RNA from Passer domesticus (house sparrow), 414 nucleotides. RefSeq lists it as uncharacterized. The record is from RefSeq and is a predicted model, not a curated record. The transcript is spliced from 3 exons. NCBI's taxonomy places the organism in Eukaryota, Metazoa, Chordata, Aves, Passeriformes, Passeridae.
UUGUGUUUGCACACUCUUCACCCUGCUCCUGCCCACUCUGCUUGUCACCUGCCCCCUGAUAACCCCAUCACUCCUGAAAGAUCCUGAGUGCCUGGAUUUUGUCAUCCAGCCCUGCAGGAUGUUCCCAUUUGUCCUGAGGAAGGCUGUCCCAGACAGAGAGGAGGAGAUGGAGGUGGAUAUUGAGAUUGAUAGAGAGGAGGAGAUGGAGGUGGAUGUGGAGGUGGAAGAAGAGAUGGAGGUGGAUGUGGAAGAGUCCAUUGAGGACAUGGACAUUGAUUAAGAAGGUGCGACGGACACCACAGAGACACCACCCUUUUGUAUAUAUGUUCUGCAGUUUGUUGUUUUCCUUUAGAAUAUAGAGUUUAGGGCAAUUUUUGACUUCUGUAAAUACGUUUCCCAUAGUUUUGCUAGGUA